Molecule: ribosomal RNA, 553 nt
Filed under: uncultured bacterium
Lineage: Bacteria
Description: bacterial SSU rRNA
Rfam family: Bacterial small subunit ribosomal RNA
Source: RNAcentral
CGAACGAAGUGGCGGACGGGUGAGUAACGCGUGGGGAACCUGCCCCAUACCGGGGGAUAACAGCCGGAAACGGCUGCUAAUACCGCAUAGUAUGGGAUGGACCCGCGUCUGAUUAGACAGUUGGCGGGGUAACGGCCCACCAAAGCGACGAUCAGUAGCCGGCCUGAGAGGGCGACCGGCCACAUUGGGACUGAGACACGGCCCAGACUCCUACGGGAGGCAGCAGUGGGGAAUAUUGCACAAUGGGGGAAACCCUGAUGCAGCGACGCCGCGUGAGUGAGGAAGUAUUUCGGUAUGUAAAGCUCUAUCAGCAGGGAAGCGGUACCUGACUAAGAAGCCCCGGCUAACUACGUGCCAGCAGCCGCGGUAAUACGUAGGGGGCAAGCGUUAUCCGGAUUUUCUGGGUGUAAAGGGAGCGCAGGCGGCAUGAUAAGUCUGAUGUGAAAACCCAAGGCUCAACCAUGGGACUGCAUUGGAAACUGUCGUGCUGGAGUGUCGGAGAGGUAAGCGGAAUUCCUAGUGUAGCGGUGAAAUGCGUAGAUAUUAGGAGGAA